Long non-coding RNA from Myzus persicae (green peach aphid), 845 nucleotides. RefSeq lists it as uncharacterized. The record is from RefSeq and is a predicted model, not a curated record. NCBI's taxonomy places the organism in Eukaryota, Metazoa, Arthropoda, Insecta, Hemiptera, Aphididae. The transcript is spliced from 5 exons.
UCUCAGGCUUCUUCACUCACGACACAAUAUAUUUUAAUAUACGCAUAAUAUUAUUAUUAUGUAAUUACACCGACAACAUCCCGUAGGGUAACUAGUUUCGUUUUUACGUCGUAGGUAAGUGUUUGAUUGCAGGCAUAGUCUGAAGAUCUUCUGGAGCAUAGUACACUAUGAUAAUUUAGUGUAAUGCCGACGAUAACUACAAAAAUAACAUUGCAAAUCGGAGGUUGUGAAAAAAACAAAAUUUUCGCUGUUGUCACGGUUCCUGUGCGAUGAAGAAAACACAUUAUUAUAUAAUACCUUGGUAUAUAAUUAAAACGUUAAAACGAGAAAAACAACAGUCAACAAGUUCACUCACGUCACACUGACUCAAAAAACUAAAGCAGUAAAGCCAAGGAUUUUUUCAAUUAAUAACAAGUGUGUCAUUUCGCUAACAUUAGUUUGAUCCGACUAUCCGAUACACGAUAACGGUGAAGGAAGGACGCACGCACCACAACUUUCACUCGCAUCUGCAAGGCCGGCGACAGCGCGAACAAACCGUUGUCGUGAAUUCGCUCCGCAAAACAUUAAAAUAUGUCUAUAUACCCCCUCACCUACCUCCUAUAUAAGGUCGUUCACCUGUUAAAUCAAAUAUGAUUGCACCGUAUACGUUAGUGCAAGUAAUUAUUAAUCGCAUCGAUUCACGAGAGAAAAUCGUAUUGUCAAAAUAAAAUUGCGAAAGUUCACAAGAAUAUCAACAGACAACACAUACAAGUUAUAACAGAGAAAACUGUAAGCAUUAUGUAUAAAAAUGAAUGUUUUUUUGUUUACUUGUGCUUUAUAAAUUCAAAAACUACUCCUCCAUAUUA